AUGUGUGUUACAAAAGACCAAGGAGGUAUGGGCUUCCGAGAUAUACACUGUUUCAACCAGGCGCUAUUAGCUAAACAAGCGUGGUGUCUUCGUGAUAAUCCUGAAUCUUUAUGUGCAACCAUCUUGAGAGCUAAAUAUUUCUCUGAGGGAGAUUUGAUGAACGCAAGUUUAAAGAAGGGAUCCUCUUUUACUUGGCAAAGCAUUAUGGCGGGAGUGAACUCUUUGAGAAAUGGUUAUAUCUGGCGAGUUGGAAAUGGACAAAACAUCGAUAUAUGGAGAGAUGCAUGGAUUCCGAAUUGUGCGAAUACGAAAAUUAUUACUCCUAGAGGUGCUACUUUGUCAAAGGUGGCUGAUCUUAUUGAUCCAAUCACGAAUUUUUGGGAUGAAGAUUUGGUGAGACAAACUUUGUGGCCAAUUGAUGUUUAAAGGGUCCUCGCGAUUUCCCUCCCUAUGCAUAAUAUGUCAGAUUUUAUUGCCUGGAGCUAUACAAAAAAUGGUGUAUUCACUGUUCGAUCAGCUUAUUUGGAGGAAUGGAACCAACAACAUGGGAGGAAAUUGCAAUAUACUAAUGGUAUGGGUCGUAUCAAUGUCAAUCCUAUUUGAGGUAAGAUUUGGAAAUUAUCAUGUCCGACAAAGGUAAAAAUAUUUAUUUGGCGAACGUUGCAUGGAACUCUACCGUGUCGUGUUACACUUGCCAAUAGACAUAAGAAAGUUUCGCCCCUUUGUCCAUCAUGCUCGAAUGGGCAAGAAGAUAGAAAACACAUCUUGUUUCUGUGUCAGAAGGCAAAAGAGGUUUGGGGUAAGCUGGGGAUGUACGAGGUAAUUAAGAAAGCUUGUGUUAUUGAUUGUGCGGGUGAGGAGGUUCUUGAAUUCUUAGUUCUUAUGUUGCACCAAGAACUAUCUAUAUUAGGUUGCUAG
Molecule: ribosomal RNA, 918 nt
Filed under: Triticum aestivum (bread wheat)
Lineage: Eukaryota; Viridiplantae; Streptophyta; Magnoliopsida; Poales; Poaceae
Description: partial small subunit ribosomal RNA
Source: RNAcentral